CCUGCGGUACCGGGCCCCUCUGGCAAGCGAGGCUGGCGCGCUUGUGAUGUCGGACCGCCCUG
Molecule: non-coding RNA, 62 nt
Organism: Methyloceanibacter marginalis
Lineage: Bacteria; Pseudomonadati; Pseudomonadota; Alphaproteobacteria; Hyphomicrobiales; Hyphomicrobiaceae
Source: Rfam